ACGUAGGGCGCAAGCGUUAUCCGGAAUUAUUGGGCGUAAAGAGCUCGUAGGCGGUUUGUCGCGUCUGCCGUGAAAGUCCGGGGCUCAACUCCGGAUCUGCGGUGGGUACGGGCAGACUAGAGUGAUGUAGGGGAGACUGGAAUUCCUGGUGUAGCGGUGAAAUGCGCAGAUAUCAGGAGGAACACCGAUGGCGAAGGCGGCGCUCUGGGCCGGAACUGACGCUGAGGAGCGAAAGCGUGGGUAGCGAACAGGA
This 253-nucleotide ribosomal RNA is filed under the name uncultured prokaryote. Its description in RNAcentral is "partial 16S ribosomal RNA". It matches the Rfam family "Bacterial small subunit ribosomal RNA", at positions 525 to 777 of the family's 1533-position model. The record is from RNAcentral.